RNAcentral lists this ribosomal RNA (460 nucleotides) under uncultured bacterium. Its description in RNAcentral is "partial 16S ribosomal RNA". It matches the Rfam family "Bacterial small subunit ribosomal RNA", at positions 338 to 795 of the family's 1533-position model. The record is from RNAcentral.
CCUACGGGUGGCAGCAGUGAGGAAUAUUGGUCAAUGGACGCGAGCCUGAACCAGCCAAGUCGCGUGAAGGAUGAAGGAUCUAUGGUUUGUAAACUUCUUUUAUAUGGGGAUAAAGUGAGGUACGUGUUCCUGUUUGUAUGUAUCAUAUGAAUAAGCAUCGGCUAACUCCGUGCCAGCAGCCGCGGUAAUACGGAGGAUGCGAGCGUUAUCCGGAUUUAUUGGGUUUAAAGGGUGCGUAGGUGGUUAGUUAAGUUAGAGGUGAAAUUUUGAGGCUCAACCAUAGAAUUGCCGUUGAUACUGGUUGACUUGAGUAUAUUUGAGGUAGGCGGAAUGCGUGGUGUAGCGGUGAAAUGCAUAGAGAUCACGCAGAACACCGAUUGCGAAGGCAGCUUACUAAGCUAUAACUGACACUGAAGCACGAAAGCGUGGGGAUCAAACAGGAUUAGAUACCCGAGUAGUC